CCCUUAGAUGUUCUGGGCCGCAUGCGUGCUACACUGAGUGGAUCAGCGGGUCAGGUUGCGCGAAAGUGUUUCCUAAUCUUUAAAUCCGCUCGUGAUGGGGAUUGACGGUUGCAAUUUUCCGUCAUGAACGAGGAAUACCUUGUAAGCGCGGGUCAUCAUCCCGCGCUGAAUACGUCCCUGCCCUUUGUACACACCGCCCGUCGCUCCUACCGAUUGAGUGGCCCGGUGAGGCUUUGGGAUCUGAGCGGAAAGAGCGUUUCGCUGUUUCUGCCCGGAAAACUCAGUCGAACCUUAUCAUUUAGAGGAAGGAGAAGUCGUAACA
Molecule: ribosomal RNA, 322 nt
Filed under: uncultured eukaryote
Lineage: Eukaryota
Description: partial 18S ribosomal RNA
Rfam family: Eukaryotic small subunit ribosomal RNA
Source: RNAcentral